Molecule: ribosomal RNA, 442 nt
Filed under: uncultured bacterium
Lineage: Bacteria
Description: partial 16S ribosomal RNA
Rfam family: Bacterial small subunit ribosomal RNA
Source: RNAcentral
CCUACGGGAGGCAGCAGUGGGGGAUAUUGCACAAUGGGGGAAACCCUGAUGCAGCGACGCCGCGUGGGCGAAGAAGUAUUUCGGUAUGUAAAGCCCUAUCAGCAGGGAAGAAGAAAUGACGGUACCUGAGUAAGAAGCACCGGCUAACUACGUGCCAGCAGCCGGUGUAAUACGUAUGUUGCAAGCGUUAUCCGGAUUGACGGGGUGUAAAGGGAGCGCAGGCGGCCCGGCAAGCCUGAUGUGAAAGCCCGCGGCCGAACCGUGGGACUGCAUUGGGAACUACCGGGCUGGAGUGCCGGAGAGGGAGGCAGAAUUCCUGGUGUAGCGGUGAAAUGCGUAGAUAUUAGGAGGAACACCAGUGGCGAAGGCGGCCUACUGGACGGUGACUGACGCUGAGGCUCGAAAGCGUGGGGAGCAAACAGGAUUAGAUACCCGGGUAGUC